Molecule: ribosomal RNA, 253 nt
Filed under: uncultured bacterium
Lineage: Bacteria
Description: partial 16S ribosomal RNA
Rfam family: Bacterial small subunit ribosomal RNA
Source: RNAcentral
GACAGAGGGUGCAACCGUUGCUCGGAAUUACUGGGCGUAAAGCGCGUGUAGGCGGGAAGAUAAGUCGGGUGUGAAAUCCCUGGGCUCAACCUAGGAACUGCAUUCGAAACUGUCUUUCUGGAGUGAUGGAGAGGAAAGCGGAAUUCCCGGUGUAGAGGUGAAAUUCGUAGAUAUCGGGAGGAACACCAGUGGCGAAGGCGGCUUUCUGGCCAUCAACUGACGCUGAGACGCGAAAGCGUGGGGAGCAAACAGG